This 835-nucleotide ribosomal RNA is filed under the name Micromonospora sp. IM-7199. RNAcentral describes it as "bacterial SSU rRNA". It matches the Rfam family "Bacterial small subunit ribosomal RNA", at positions 38 to 889 of the family's 1533-position model. The record is from RNAcentral. Lineage: Bacteria; Bacillati; Actinomycetota; Actinomycetes; Micromonosporales; Micromonosporaceae.
GGCGGCGUGCUUAACACAUGCAAGUCGAGCGGAAAGGCCCUUCGGGGUACUCGAGCGGCGAACGGGUGAGUAACACGUGAGCAACCUGCCCUAGGCUUUGGGAUAACCCCGGGAAACCGGGGCUAAUACCGGAUAGGACCUGGCCCCGCAUGGGGUUGGGUGGAAAGUUUUUCGGCCUGGGAUGGGCUCGCGGCCUAUCAGCUUGUUGGUGGGGUGAUGGCCUACCAAGGCGACGACGGGUAGCCGGCCUGAGAGGGCGACCGGCCACACUGGGACUGAGACACGGCCCAGACUCCUACGGGAGGCAGCAGUGGGGAAUAUUGCACAAUGGGCGGAAGCCUGAUGCAGCGACGCCGCGUGAGGGAUGACGGCCUUCGGGUUGUAAACCUCUUUCAGCAGGGACGAAGCGUAAGUGACGGUACCUGCAGAAGAAGCGCCGGCCAACUACGUGCCAGCAGCCGCGGUAAGACGUAGGGCGCGAGCGUUGUCCGGAUUUAUUGGGCGUAAAGAGCUCGUAGGCGGCUUGUCGCGUCGACUGUGAAAACCCGCAGCUCAACUGCGGGCCUGCAGUCGAUACGGGCAGGCUAGAGUUCGGUAGGGGAGACUGGAAUUCCUGGUGUAGCGGUGAAAUGCGCAGAUAUCAGGAGGAACACCGGUGGCGAAGGCGGGUCUCUGGGCCGAUACUGACGCUGAGGAGCGAAAGCGUGGGGAGCGAACAGGAUUAGAUACCCUGGUAGUCCACGCUGUAAACGUUGGGCGCUAGGUGUGGGGGGCCUCUCCGGUUCCCUGUGCCGCAGCUAACGCAUUAAGCGCCCCGCCUGGGGAGUACGGCCGC